RNAcentral lists this transfer RNA (97 nucleotides) under Dehalococcoidia bacterium. RNAcentral's name for it is "tRNA-Sec". It matches the Rfam family "Selenocysteine transfer RNA". The record is from RNAcentral. Lineage: Bacteria; Bacillati; Chloroflexota; Dehalococcoidia.
GGGAGCGACUGGGCCCCGGUGGGCCCCGCGGGCUUCAAACCCGUUGAGGGGCAUUAACAGUGUCCUUGGUGGGUUCGACUCCCAUUCGCUCCCGCCA